This 486-nucleotide ribosomal RNA is filed under the name uncultured bacterium. Its description in RNAcentral is "partial 16S ribosomal RNA". It matches the Rfam family "Bacterial small subunit ribosomal RNA", at positions 28 to 507 of the family's 1533-position model. The record is from RNAcentral.
GACGAACGCUGGCGGCGUGCUUAACACAUGCAAGUCGAACGCUGAAGACCUGGCUUUUGUUGGGUUGGAUGAGUGGCGAACGGGUGAGUAACACGUGAGUAACCUGCCCUCUUCUUUGGGAUAACGCCCGGAAACGGGUGCUAAUACUGGAUAUUCACUGAUCUUCGCAUGGGGGUUGGGGGAAAGGUUUGUUCUGGUGGGGGAUGGGCUCGCGGCCUAUCAGCUUGUUGGUGGGGUGAUGGCCUACCAAGGCUUUGACGGGUAGCCGGCCUGAGAGGGUGACCGGUCACAUUGGGACUGAGAUACGGCCCUGACUCCUACGGGAGGCAGCAGUGGGGAAUAUUGCACAAUGGGCGAAUGCCUGAUGCAGCGACGCCGCGUGAGGGAUGGAGGCCUUCGGGUUGUAAACCUCUUUCGCGCAUGGUCAAGCCGCAACUGUGGGUUGUGGUGAGGGUAGUGGGUAAAGAAGCGCCGGCUAACUACGUG